GACGAACGCUGGCGGCGUGCUUAACACAUGCAAGUCGAACGGAAAGGCCCUGCUUUUGUGGGGUGCUCGAGUGGCGAACGGGUGAGUAACACGUGAGUAACCUGCCCUUGACUUUGGGAUAACUUCAGGAAACUGGGGCUAAUACCGGAUAGGAGCUCCUGCUGCAUGGUGGGGGUUGGAAAGUUUCGGCGGUUGGGGAUGGACUCGCGGCUUAUCAGCUUGUUGGUGGGGUAGUGGCUUACCAAGGCUUUGACGGGUAGCCGGCCUGAGAGGGUGACCGGCCCACUUGGGACUGAGAUACGGCCCAGACUCCUACGGGGGGGAGCAGGGGGGAAUUUUGCACAAGGGGCGGAAGCCUGAUGCCGCAACGCCGCGGGCGGGAUGACGGCCUUCGGGUUGUAACCCGCUUUCGCCUGGGAAGAAGCGGGGGUGGCGGUAAUGGGUAAAGAAGCACCGGCUAACUACGU
This 467-nucleotide ribosomal RNA is filed under the name uncultured bacterium. Its description in RNAcentral is "partial 16S ribosomal RNA". It matches the Rfam family "Bacterial small subunit ribosomal RNA", at positions 28 to 506 of the family's 1533-position model. The record is from RNAcentral.